GCGGCACAUUGCAAGGCCACAACGCUGGAGACAGACACACGCUUGAUGCUGGUUGCUGGAUGCGGAAUGCCUGGCUAAAGAGACCUUUCAUGGAAACCUCCUGACUUCCAUGCUAACCACCUUGUGAUCACCCCAAGUGGGACCUGCGGUAGAGGACUGUGAUUUGCAGAUCCCUGAGCGCAGCACUGGGAACUGUAAGACUACCCACAUGACAAUGCCUGGAGAACACCUUAUCCCUUGUCGCCCACCAUUCUGGAAGGGAGAACUUGCACACCAAGAACUUGGCAGCCAGCUGGGAGAAUCAAGGUCCACCAGUUUGGACAAUCCCAGGAACUGCACAGACAAGAGGCAGCAGGCUGGGAGUACAUCUGUCCGGAGACAGCUCUGAGGUAGAGCCGGAGCUGCAACCAACCACCCUGUGAAAGGAGCUGCCUCCCUGUAAGAUGUCAAGGCCAGAGUUAAGCCCCCUCCCACCACUUGGUA
Myotis myotis is the source of this 483-nucleotide long non-coding RNA. RefSeq lists it as uncharacterized. The transcript is spliced from 3 exons. Lineage: Eukaryota; Metazoa; Chordata; Mammalia; Chiroptera; Vespertilionidae. The record is from RefSeq and is a predicted model, not a curated record.